UACGUAGGGCGCAAGCGUUGUCCGGAAUUAUUGGGCGUAAAGAGCUCGUAGGCGGCCUGUUGCGUCCGCUGUGAAAUCCCGGGGCUCAACCCCGGGCGUGCAGUGGAUACGGGCUGGCUGGAGGCAGGCAGGGGAGAACGGAAUUCCUGGUGUAGCGGUGAAAUGCGCAGAUAUCAGGAGGAACACCGGUGGCGAAGGCGGUUCUCUGGGCCUGUACUGACACUGAGGAGCGAAAGCGUGGGGAGCGAACAGG
Molecule: ribosomal RNA, 253 nt
Filed under: uncultured bacterium
Lineage: Bacteria
Description: partial 16S ribosomal RNA
Rfam family: Bacterial small subunit ribosomal RNA
Source: RNAcentral